UGGCUCAGUUGGUAGAGUACGUGACUCUUGAUCUUGGGAUCGUGAGUUCAAGUCCCAC
This 58-nucleotide transfer RNA is filed under the name Felis catus (domestic cat). It matches the Rfam family "tRNA", at positions 8 to 63 of the family's 71-position model. From Rfam's summary of the family: Transfer RNA (tRNA) molecules are approximately 80 nucleotides in length. RNAcentral also lists the same sequence under 2 other names. Lineage: Eukaryota; Metazoa; Chordata; Mammalia; Carnivora; Felidae. The record is from Rfam by way of RNAcentral.